Molecule: ribosomal RNA, 484 nt
Filed under: uncultured bacterium
Lineage: Bacteria
Description: partial 16S ribosomal RNA
Rfam family: Bacterial small subunit ribosomal RNA
Source: RNAcentral
GAUGAACGCUGGCGGCGUGCUUAACACAUGCAAGUCGAACGGUGAAGCAGGAGCUUGCUCUUGUGGAUCAGUGGCGAACGGGUGAGUAACACGUGAGCAACCUGCCCCUGACUCUGGGAUAAGCGCUGGAAACGGCGUCUAAUACUGGAUAUGUGAUGUGACCGCAUGGUCUGCAUCUGGAAAGAAUUUCGGUUGGGGAUGGGCUCGCGGCCUAUCAGGUUGUUGGUGAGGUAAGGGGGCACCAAGGCGUUGACGGGUAGGCGGCCUGAGAGGGUGACCGGCCACACUGGGACUGAGACACGGCCCAGGCUCCUACGGGAGGCAGCAGUGGGGAAUAUUGCACAAUGGGCGGAAGCCUGAUGCAGCAACGCCGCGUGAGGGAUGACGGCCUUCGGGUUGUAAACCUCUUUUAGCAGGGAAGAAGCGAAAGUGACGGUACCUGCAGAAAAAGCACCGGCUAACUACGUGCCAGCCGCCGCGGUAA